This 377-nucleotide ribosomal RNA is filed under the name uncultured bacterium. RNAcentral's name for it is "bacterial SSU rRNA". It matches the Rfam family "Bacterial small subunit ribosomal RNA", at positions 521 to 896 of the family's 1533-position model. The record is from RNAcentral.
UAAUACAGAGGGUGCAAGCGUUGUUCGGAAUUACUGGGCGUAAAGCGCGCGCAGGCGGGUUUGUAAGUCGGAAGUGAAAUCUCACUGCUCAACGGUGAGGCUGCUUCUGAUACUGCAAAUCUUGAGACCGGUAGAGGUUGGUAGAAUUGCAGGUGUAGCGGUGGAAUGCGUAGAGAUCUGCAAGAAUACCCGUGGCGAAGGCGGCCAACUGGGCCGGUUCUGACGCUGAGGCGCGAAAGCGUGGGGAGCAAACAGGAUUAGAUACCCUGGUAGUCCACGCCGUAAACGAUGGGCACUAGGUGCUGGGGGGAGCGACCCCUUCAGUGCCGUAGCUAACGCGAUAAGUGCCCCGCCUGGGGAGUACGGCCGCAAGGCUG